UUACGGCCAUAUAACGAUGAAACAUCGGUUCCUGCACGAUCACCGAAGUUAAGCUGCGUCGACCCUGGUUAGUACCUACAUGAGUGACCACUUAGGAAUAUCAGGUGUGGUAAG
Acanthosepion pharaonis is the source of this 114-nucleotide non-coding RNA. Lineage: Eukaryota; Metazoa; Mollusca; Cephalopoda; Sepiida; Sepiidae. The record is from the annotation of a GenBank genome assembly.